Molecule: ribosomal RNA, 608 nt
Filed under: Salmonella enterica
Lineage: Bacteria; Pseudomonadati; Pseudomonadota; Gammaproteobacteria; Enterobacterales; Enterobacteriaceae
Also listed under: 1 other name
Description: partial 23S ribosomal RNA
Rfam family: Bacterial large subunit ribosomal RNA
Source: RNAcentral
GAAUGCUGACAUAAGUAACGAUAAAGCGGGUGAAAAGCCCGCUCGCCGGAAGACCAAGGGUUCCUGUCCAACGUUAAUCGGGGCAGGGUGAGUCGACCCCUAAGGCGAGGCCGAAAGGCGUAGUCGAUGGGAAACGGGUUAAUAUUCCCGUACUUGGUGUUACUGCGAAGGGGGGACGGAGAAGGCUAUGUUGGCCGGGCGACGGUUGUCCCGGUUUAAGCGUGUAGGUGUGUGUUCCAGGUAAAUCCGGUUCACUUUAACACUGAGGCGUGACGACGAGGCACUACGGUGCUGAAGCAACAAAUGCCCUGCUUCCAGGAAAAGCCUCUAAGCAUCAGGUAACAUCAAAUCGUACCCCAAACCGACACAGGUGGUCAGGUAGAGAAUACCAAGGCGCUUGAGAGAACUCGGGUGAAGGAACUAGGCAAAAUGGUGCCGUAACUUCGGGAGAAGGCACGCUGACACGUAGGUGAAGUGAUUUACUCAUGGAGCUGAAGUCAGUCGAAGAUACCAGCUGGCUGCAACUGUUUAUUAAAAACACAGCACUGUGCAAACACGAAAGUGGACGUAUACGGUGUGACGCCUGCCCGGUGCCGGAAGGUUAAUUG